ACGAUGUUCCGCUGCUAGGUUAUCCAGGCAUGAGCAUUAG
Molecule: regulatory RNA element, 40 nt
Organism: Pontibacillus yanchengensis Y32
Lineage: Bacteria; Bacillati; Bacillota; Bacilli; Caryophanales; Bacillaceae
Rfam family: Ribosomal protein L19 leader
About the family: This family is a putative r-protein leader autoregulatory structure found in B. subtilis and other low-GC Gram-positive bacteria. It is located in the 5' untranslated regions of mRNAs encoding ribosomal protein L19 (rplS).
Source: Rfam